GACGAACGCUGGCGGCGUGCUUAACACAUGCAAGUCGAACGGAAAGGCCCUGCUUUUGUGGGGUGCUCGAGUGGCGAACGGGUGAGUAACACGUGAGUAACCUGCCCUUGACUUUGGGAUAACUUCAGGAAACUGGGGCUAAUACCGGAUAGGAGCUCCUGCUGCUCGGUGGGGGUUGGAAAGUUCUGGUGGUUGGGGAUGGACUCGCGGCUUAUCAGCUUGUUGGUGGGGUAGUGGCUUACCAAGGCUUUGACGGGUAGCCGGCCUGAGAGGGUGACCAGCCACCUUGCGGCUGCGAUACGCCACGGAGUCGUACAGGAGGCAACAGUGGGGAAUAUUGCGGAAUAAGCGGAAGCCUAAUACAACAACGCCGCGUGCGGGAUGACGGCCUUCGAGUUGUAAACCUCUUUCGCCGGUGACGUAGCGUGAGUGACGGUAAUGGAUAAAAAAGCAACGGCUAACUACGUG
RNAcentral lists this ribosomal RNA (468 nucleotides) under uncultured bacterium. RNAcentral describes it as "partial 16S ribosomal RNA". It matches the Rfam family "Bacterial small subunit ribosomal RNA", at positions 28 to 507 of the family's 1533-position model. The record is from RNAcentral.